AUGCAUUCAUUCAGCAAAGACAUCAUUGAGAAGGAAGAGGGGGAUGGUUCCUCAGAAGCAGGGAACCAGGGUGUCAGAAAGUGAGGACAGAAAUCUAGUGCUUUCUGCCCCUCAAAAGAAUCGCUAUUUUGCAUCUCUGCAUCAUCCAAGGCCAUCUCAAGAGAUCUAA
Molecule: long non-coding RNA, 169 nt
Filed under: Naja naja (Indian cobra)
Lineage: Eukaryota; Metazoa; Chordata; Lepidosauria; Squamata; Elapidae
Description: lncRNA (ENSNNAG00000003906.1)
Source: RNAcentral